RNAcentral lists this ribosomal RNA (269 nucleotides) under uncultured archaeon. RNAcentral describes it as "partial 16S ribosomal RNA". It matches the Rfam family "Archaeal small subunit ribosomal RNA", at positions 478 to 747 of the family's 1478-position model. The record is from RNAcentral.
AGCUCUCCGAGUGGUAGGGAUGUUUAUUGGGCUUAAAGCGUCCGUAGCCGGCUCAGCAAGUCCUCCGUUAAAUCCACCGAUUCAAUCGUUGGACUGCGGGGGAUACUGUUGGGCUUGGGGACGGGAGAGGCCGACGGUAUUCCCGGAGUAGGGGUGAAAUCCUAUAAUUCCGGGAGGACCACCAGUGGCGAAGGCUGUCGGCUAGCACGCGCCUGACGGUGAGGGACGAAAGCUGGGGGAGCGAACCGGAUUAGAUACCCGUGUAGUCC